This 406-nucleotide unclassified non-coding RNA is filed under the name soil metagenome. RNAcentral describes it as "partial contains 5.8S ribosomal RNA, internal transcribed spacer 2, and large subunit ribosomal RNA". The stretch from base 1 to 120 matches the Rfam family "5.8S ribosomal RNA", at positions 35 to 154 of the family's 154-position model. The record is from RNAcentral.
GAUGAAGAACGCAGCGAAAUGCGAUACGUAGUGUGAAUUGCAGAAUUCCGUGAACCAUCGAAUCUUUGAACGCAAAUUGCGCUCGAGGCCUCGGCCAAGAGCAUGUCUGCCUCAGCGUCGGCUACUACCCUCAACUAAGUUUCCUAUACACAUAGGGGAUGCCGGUUGGAUCUGGCCGUCCGGUUUGCCUUUUAGGUUGCCGGUCAGCUGAAAUACAUUCACGCUCUGGGGGCUGCUUUCCUUCCGAGGAGAGGCGAGUUCCGAUUUGGUAGGUGACCUUUGCCGGUUGCAUGCCUUCGUUGCCCGCUAAGCUUUCCAGUAUGCGUUGUGCAGGACGCCCUUUGGCUUUCGACCUGAGGUCAGGCAAGAACACCCGCUGAACUUAAGCAUAUCAAUAAGCGGAGGA